RNAcentral lists this ribosomal RNA (451 nucleotides) under uncultured Pelagibacterales bacterium. Its description in RNAcentral is "bacterial SSU rRNA". It matches the Rfam family "Bacterial small subunit ribosomal RNA", at positions 1077 to 1533 of the family's 1533-position model. The record is from RNAcentral. Lineage: Bacteria; Pseudomonadati; Pseudomonadota; Alphaproteobacteria; Candidatus Pelagibacterales.
UGGGUAGUCCGCACGAGCGCACCUUACUUUUAGUUGCUACCAUUUAGUUGGGCACUCUAAAAGAACUGCCGGUGAUAAGCUGGAGGAAGGUGGGGAUGACGUCAAGUCCUCAUGGCCCUUAUGUGUUGGGCUACACACGUGCUACAAUGGUACUCACAGUGAGAAGCGAAGAGGCGACUCUAAGCUAAUCCCUAAAAAGUACCUCAGUUCGGAUUGUACUCUGCAACUCGAGUAUAUGAAGCUGGAAUUACUAGUAAUCGCGGAUCAGCGCGCCGCGGUGAAUACGUUCCCGGGUCUUGUACACACCGCCCGUCACACCAUGGAAGUUGGUUUUACCUUAAGCUGGUGUGCUAACCGCAAGGAAGCAGCCGUCCACGGUAGAGUUAGCGACUGGGGCGAAGUCGUAACAAGGUAGCCGUAGGGGAACCUGUGGCUGGAUCACCUCCUUUCU